This is a long non-coding RNA of Brassica oleracea var. oleracea, 1241 nucleotides long. RefSeq lists it as uncharacterized. The transcript has 2 exons. The record is from RefSeq and is a predicted model, not a curated record. NCBI's taxonomy places the organism in Eukaryota, Viridiplantae, Streptophyta, Magnoliopsida, Brassicales, Brassicaceae.
ACGCUAUAGCUCUAGCUUCAUCUUUUGUCGGUUGAUGGUAUUGAUGAGAAUUUGAGAGUCCGAAAGAACUGAGAUCAGAUGGUAUCGAUUCCGCGAGAGAGGGAAAAUAUUAUGGCUGUACAAACGGCCAAGGCUUCUGCCGUAAGGGGCAACAGAACAAAUUAUGAAGUCGAUGAGUGCUGGGAGGAGGAAACCAGAUCAUCAAUGAUCGAACCAAAUCCUGCAAACCCCGUUGAGGAGUUCCCUGCUGCAUCUGUGUACACAGAGCAUAGUCCAGAUCGCCUAAGGUUUGGUUCAAUUCUGAUCAACGUUUCGGAGGAAAAGUACUUGGAGGGGCUUGAGCCAACAUCCAUUCUCUAGCGUCAGAGAUUGCCUUUUGCAGAGUCUCUUCAGGUGUGAAAUCUCUCUUUUGGAAGAUAAGCUGACUGUUUCCCAGCCUUCUCGAGUAGACGUGAAGGCGUUGGCUCUGAUUGCGCUUGUCACCAGUGCUAGCUCCCAGAUUUUUGUAGCAUAGGGGCAGUUGAAUGGAAGGUGCGUAACUGAUUCUACUGCAUUACGUCGCGAGCAGAGGGUAGUAACUGGGAUGUUACGGAUAGGAAAUUGUUCUCCUACUGGUAGGACGCCAUGUAGAGAUUUCCAGAUGAAGAUUUUAGCAUUUUCAGAUGUUUUGAUGUUCAGGGGUGAUAGAUGAUUCUGUGGGAGUUGCAUUGAGUUUAUCUUCCAUUAGAGUCAGGGGAGAAUAAUCUCAAUUUACAUUCCAUUCCGAUUAUCCCGGCAGGAGGAGGUCUGAGACUUUGAGAGAUAGAUAGGCUUCAGGUGCUGGUCUAAAGGGUCGGAGUUGUUCACAGUGAGAGAGCCAUGAAUCAUCCCAGACAUUAAUCGAGUUUCCAGUUCCAACCAUCCAGCCUAGUUGUUCAACAAGGAGAUACCUGCCUAUCAAGACGCUUCUCCAACCAAGAGAUGAAGAUGAGGCUGUCUUAACUUUUAAGAAGGAUUCCAAAUGAGCUAGGAGGCAUGUUGGGUUCUUCAGAAUACACCAUCCUAUCUUUUCUAGUAGAACAUCAUUGGAGAAGAUGAUAUCUUUAAAACCCAGACCUCCAUUUUUAUUUUGGUUUUACCUUUUUUUUCCAAGAGAUCCAAAGACAUUUUAUGCUUAUCAGGUUCAGAGUCCCACCAUAAUCUUGUCAACGUAGAUUGGAUCCAAGAGAGUAUGAAUCCAUUUCUUGAUGGUGUUUUUCCUU